AUACGUAGGGGGCGAGCGUUAUCCGGAUUCAUUGGGCGUAAAGCGCGCGUAGGCGGCCCGGCAGGCCGGGGGUCGAAGCGGGGGGCUCAACCCCCCGAAGCCCCCGGAACCUCCGCGGCUUGGGUCCGGUAGGGGAGGGUGGAACACCCGGUGUAGCGGUGGAAUGCGCAGAUAUCGGGUGGAACACCGGUGGCGAAGGCGGCCCUCUGGGCCGAGACCGACGCUGAGGCGCGAAAGCUGGGGGAGC
This 247-nucleotide ribosomal RNA is filed under the name uncultured bacterium. Its description in RNAcentral is "partial 16S ribosomal RNA". It matches the Rfam family "Bacterial small subunit ribosomal RNA", at positions 523 to 769 of the family's 1533-position model. The record is from RNAcentral.